Molecule: ribosomal RNA, 438 nt
Filed under: uncultured bacterium
Lineage: Bacteria
Description: bacterial SSU rRNA
Rfam family: Bacterial small subunit ribosomal RNA
Source: RNAcentral
CCUACGGGAGGCAGCAGUGGGGAAUAUUGCGCAAUGGGGGAAACCCUGACGCAGCAACGCCGCGUGCAGGAAGAAGGUCUUCGGAUUGUAAACUGUUGUCGCAGGGGAAGAAGACAGUGACGGUACCCUGUGAGAAAGUCACGGCUAACUACGUGCCAGCAGCCGCGGUAAUACGUAGGUGACAAGCGUUGUCCGGAUUUACUGGGUGUAAAGGGCGCGUAGGCGGGAUAGCAAGUCAGUCGUGAAAUGCCGAGGCUUAACCUCGGAGCUGCGAUUGAAACUGUUAUUCUUGAGUAUCGGAGAGGAAAGCGGAAUUCCUAGUGUAGCGGUGAAAUGCGUAGAUAUUAGGAGGAACACCAGUGGCGAAGGCGGCUUUCUGGACGACAACUGACGCUGAGGCGCGAAAGUGUGGGGAGCAAACAGGAUUAGAUACCCUAG